GGACAAAUUUUAUCUUUAAAAUGGUGCUUAUAAUUACGAACGGAGGAAAUAUCUCCUAAUCUCAUAUCCAUUACUUGGAUGAUAAUCUGAAAUUCUACGCCUCAAAAUAAGGAUCAUUAGAAAACAUUUUCAAAAUAUUUUUUUUCGUAGAUGGACACAAUUUUAUGCUUCUACAUUCAUUAAAAUUUGUGCAGGCAUGUGCCUACACUCUGUCCUAUGUGCCCACUUCUCCUUAUAGACUCU
RNAcentral lists this long non-coding RNA (243 nucleotides) under Trifolium pratense (red clover). Its description in RNAcentral is "long non-coding RNA (TPRA_LNC012717)". The record is from RNAcentral. Lineage: Eukaryota; Viridiplantae; Streptophyta; Magnoliopsida; Fabales; Fabaceae.